RNAcentral lists this ribosomal RNA (566 nucleotides) under Aureobasidium melanogenum. RNAcentral's name for it is "partial large subunit ribosomal RNA". It matches the Rfam family "Eukaryotic large subunit ribosomal RNA", at positions 62 to 643 of the family's 3401-position model. The record is from RNAcentral. Lineage: Eukaryota; Fungi; Ascomycota; Dothideomycetes; Dothideales; Saccotheciaceae.
AAACCAACAGGGAUUGCCCUAGUAACGGCGAGUGAAGCGGCAACAGCUCAAAUUUGAAAGCUGGCCUUCGGGUCCGCAUUGUAAUUUGUAGAGGAUGCUUUGGGUGAAACGCCAGUCUAAGUUCCUUGGAACAGGACGUCAUAGAGGGUGAGAAUCCCGUAUGUGACUGGAAAUGUUAACCUAUGUAAAGCUCCUUCGACGAGUCGAGUUGUUUGGGAAUGCAGCUCUAAAUGGGAGGUAAAUUUCUUCUAAAGCUAAAUAUUGGCGAGAGACCGAUAGCGCACAAGUAGAGUGAUCGAAAGAUGAAAAGCACUUUGGAAAGAGAGUUAAAAAGCACGUGAAAUUGUUGAAAGGGAAGCGCUUGCAAUCAGACUUGUUUAAACUGUUCGGCCGGUCUUCUGACCGGUUUACUCAGUUUGGACAGGCCAGCAUCAGUUUCGGCGGCCGGAUAAAGGCUCUGGGAAUGUGGCCUUCACUUCGGUGAAGGUGUUAUAGCCCAGGGUGUAAUACGGCCAGCCGGGACUGAGGUCCGCGCUUCGGCUAGGAUGCUGGCGUAAUGGUUGUAA